This 68-nucleotide transfer RNA is filed under the name Polypedilum yongsanensis. RNAcentral's name for it is "tRNA-Ala". It matches the Rfam family "tRNA". From Rfam's summary of the family: Transfer RNA (tRNA) molecules are approximately 80 nucleotides in length. Their secondary structure includes four short double-helical elements and three loops (D, anti-codon, and T loops). The record is from RNAcentral. Lineage: Eukaryota; Metazoa; Arthropoda; Insecta; Diptera; Chironomidae.
AAGGAUAUAGUUAAUUAUAACAUUUGAUUUGCAUUCAAAAAGUAUUAAAUAAAUUUUAAUUAUUCUUG